Molecule: unclassified non-coding RNA, 231 nt
Filed under: uncultured fungus
Lineage: Eukaryota; Fungi
Description: partial contains 5.8S ribosomal RNA, internal transcribed spacer 2, and large subunit ribosomal RNA
Source: RNAcentral
AACGCACAUUGCGCCCGCCAGCACUCUGGCGGGCAUGCCCGUCCGAGCGUCGCACCACCCGUCAGGCCCGGCCUGUGCUGGGGCCCCGCGGCCGCCGCGGGCCCCCAAAGACAGCGGCGGGGCCGCCGCCGCGCCGAGCGCAGUAACCACGCCGCUCCGGCGCGGGGGCGUCCCCGCCUGACCGCACGCACCGUCGACCUCGGAUCGGGUAGGGAUACCCGCCGAACUUAA